RNAcentral lists this long non-coding RNA (219 nucleotides) under Elaeis guineensis (African oil palm). RNAcentral describes it as "long non-coding RNA (EGUI_LNC051206)". The record is from RNAcentral. Lineage: Eukaryota; Viridiplantae; Streptophyta; Magnoliopsida; Arecales; Arecaceae.
CGAUAACAGAUGCACCCUCCUUCAUUCGGGCAUUAAAAAUGGUGUAACUAAUUUUGUGCCACUCAACGUCGUCAGGAGUACUAAUGGAAUCCCUCAACAGUUGAAGUAUUUCCUCUGGCUGAGCUUCUUCAAACUUUCGGCUGAACUCGUCGUUCAUAGAGGCACGCAUGAUGCAAUGAACUAUGGUGCGAUCAUUAAGCCAUUUCAAAUAAGUAUCUC